RNAcentral lists this ribosomal RNA (843 nucleotides) under Triticum aestivum (bread wheat). Its description in RNAcentral is "partial small subunit ribosomal RNA". The record is from RNAcentral. Lineage: Eukaryota; Viridiplantae; Streptophyta; Magnoliopsida; Poales; Poaceae.
AUGGAGGUUCCGGAAGAUCGUAGAGUUCCUUUGGUCGCAUACAAGCUGAAAGGAGGAGCUGAUGCAUGGUGGCAUCGCGUUCAAGACGAGCGUAGGCUGAGAGGAGAACCUCGUGUUAGAACUUGGCGACAAAUGAAAGGCCUCUUGAAAGGAAGAUUUUUGCCCGCUGAUUAUGACCAGAUCCUUUUUAUCCAAUUUCAAAUUUGUGCUCAAGGAAAUAGGACUGUUUCAGAUUACACGGAGGAGUUUCUAAGGCUACAAGUGAGGUGCAACCUUGCUGAAACUGAAGAGCAACAAGUUGCAAGGUACAUCAAUGGUCUCAAUGAUGCUAUUCAAGAUCGAUUGAUGAUGCAACAAAUCUGGUCCGUUGAUCAAGCACAAGCUCUAGCCUUAAAGGCCGAGAGGUUUGUGAGGAUGAGAAAGACAACUAAGGCUCCAUAUCCUCCAUACCCUCAUACCAAAGGCUCAUCUAGGAGCCAACCUAAUAGAGUGGAAGAAAAGACCACUCCACCAAAGACAAAACAGCCCAUCCUGAAGCAAACUAGAGGCAAGGGUAAGGCAAAUGAAGGCCCAAAGUGCUAUAAAUGUGGUAAAGAGGGAGAAUACGAAUCUCAAGAUGGUGAAAGCGAUGAGGAAGAAUACGAAUCUGAAGAUGUAGACGGACAAGAGGUUUGUCAAGAAGAAGGUGAAGAGGUGGUAUGCGUGAUCCAGCAUGUCCUAUGUUCCACACCACAACUCGAUGACACACAACAGAAGAAAAUAUUUGAGAGCAAAUGCACGGUGAAUGGAAAGGUAUGCAAACUAGUGAUUGAUAGUUGCAGCUGCGAGAAUCUUAUCUCCUAG